Molecule: ribosomal RNA, 460 nt
Filed under: uncultured bacterium
Lineage: Bacteria
Description: partial 16S ribosomal RNA
Rfam family: Bacterial small subunit ribosomal RNA
Source: RNAcentral
CCUACGGGAGGCAGCAGUGGGGAAUAUUGCUCAAUGGGCGCAAGCCUGAUCCAGCCACGCCGCGUGAAGGAUGACUGCCUUCCGGGUUGUAACCUUCGUUUACAAAGGAAUAAAGUGAGGUACGUGUGCCUUAGUGUAUGUACUUUAUGAAUAAGGAUCGGCUACCUCCGUGCUAGCAGCCGCGGUAAUACGGAGGUUCCGAGUGUUAUCCGGAUUUAUUGGGUGUAAAGGGUGCGUAGAUGGGUUGUGAAGUCAGUUGUGAAAGGUUGCGGCUCAACCGUAAAAGUGCAAUUGAUACUGGCAGCCUUGAGUACAGUUGAGGUAGGCGGAAUUCGUGGUGUAGCGGUGAAAUGCUUAGAUAUCACGAAGAACACCGAUUGCGAAGGCAGCCUACUAAACUGCCACUGACAUUGAUGCUCGAAAGUGUGGGUAUCAAACAGGAUUAGAUACCCUAGUAGUC